This 440-nucleotide ribosomal RNA is filed under the name uncultured bacterium. RNAcentral describes it as "partial 16S ribosomal RNA". It matches the Rfam family "Bacterial small subunit ribosomal RNA", at positions 338 to 795 of the family's 1533-position model. The record is from RNAcentral.
CCUACGGGGGGCUGCAGUGGGGGAUAUUGCACAAUGGGGGGAACCCUGAUGCAGCGACGCCGCGUGGGUGAAGAAGCGCCUCGGCGCGUAAAGCCCUGUCAGCAGGGAAGAAAAUGACGGUACCUGAAGAAGAAGCCCCGGCCAAAUACGUGCCAGCAGCCGCGGUAAUACGGCGGGCGCAAGCGUUAUCCGGAUUUACUGGGUGUAAAGGGGGCGCAGACGGGGAUGCAAGCCAGGAGUGAAAGCCCGGGGCCCAACCCCGGGACUGCUCUUGGAACUGCGUGGCUGGAGUGCAGGAGGGGCAGGCGGAAUUCCUGGUGUAGCGGUGAAAUGCGUAGAUAUCAGGAGGAACACCAGUGGCGAAGGCGGCUGUCUGGUCUGUAACUGACGCUGAGGUUCGAAAGCGUGGGUAGCAAACAGGAUUAGAUACCCUGGUAGUC